AAAUAUCAAAAUUCAUAGUAGAGUACAAAAGUUUCCAACCAAACACACCCUAGUUAAGAUGUAUCAAAGUUUUACACACUCAUCAUAGUAUGCUUUACCGGAUUAAGUUGGGAUUCUUGGAAAAGAGUAACCAAAACCAGUGGUUGCAGGAAAACAACGCAAGACAAUGAAAGUUAGACCAAAAGUGCAGAGAUUUAAAACCUUAAAACGUUGUCAAAACAUGAACUAAUGCCACUAAAUAAGUGACAAAUUUGUAA
Long non-coding RNA from Ipomoea nil (Japanese morning glory), 257 nucleotides. RefSeq lists it as uncharacterized. The record is from RefSeq and is a predicted model, not a curated record. Lineage: Eukaryota; Viridiplantae; Streptophyta; Magnoliopsida; Solanales; Convolvulaceae. The transcript has 3 exons.